GAUGAACGCUGGCGGCGUGCCUAAUACAUGCAAGUCGAGCGAACAGACGAGGAGCUUGCUCCUCUGACGUUAGCGGCGGACGGGUGAGUAACACGUGGAUAACCUACCUAUAAGACUGGGAUAACUUCGGGAAACCGGAGCUAAUACCGGAUAAUAUAUUGAACCGCAUGGUUCAAUAGUGAAAGACGGUUUUGCUGUCACUUAUAGCUGGAUCCGCGCCGCAUUAGCUAGUUGGUAAGGUAACGGCUUACCAAGGCAACGAUGCGUAGCCGACCUGAGAGGGUGGUCGGCCACACUGGAACGGAGACACGGUCCAGACUCCUAAGGGAGGCAGCAGUAGGGAAUCUUCCGCAAUGGGCGAAAGCCUGACGGAGCAACGCCGCGUGAGUGAUGAAGGUCUUCGGAUCGUAAAACUCUGUUAUUAGGGAAGAACAAAUGUGUAAGUAACUAUGCACGUCUUGACGGUACCGAAUCAGAAAGCCACGGCUAACUACGUG
RNAcentral lists this ribosomal RNA (497 nucleotides) under uncultured bacterium. Its description in RNAcentral is "partial 16S ribosomal RNA". It matches the Rfam family "Bacterial small subunit ribosomal RNA", at positions 28 to 507 of the family's 1533-position model. The record is from RNAcentral.